RNAcentral lists this ribosomal RNA (439 nucleotides) under uncultured bacterium. RNAcentral's name for it is "partial 16S ribosomal RNA". It matches the Rfam family "Bacterial small subunit ribosomal RNA", at positions 339 to 795 of the family's 1533-position model. The record is from RNAcentral.
CUACGGGGGGCAGCAGUGGGGAAUAUUGCACAAUGGGCGAAAGCCUGAUGCAGCAACGCCGCGUGGAGGAUGAAGCAUUUCGGUGUGUAAACUCCUUUUAUAAGAGAAGAUUAUGACGGUAUCUUAUGAAUAAGCACCGGCUAACUCCGUGCCAGCAGCCGCGGUAAUACGGAGGGUGCAAGCGUUACUCGGAAUCACUGGGCGUAAAGAACGCGUAGGCGGAUUUUUAAGUCUUGAGUGAAAUCCUAUGGCUCAACCAUAGAACUGCUUGAGAAACUGGAAAUCUAGAAUCUGGAAGAGGUAGAUGGAAUUAGUAGUGUAGGGGUAAAAUCCGUAGAUAUUACUAGGAAUACCAAAAGCGAAGGCAAUCUACUGGGACAGUAUUGACGCUGUGGCGUGAAAGCGUGGGGAGCAAACAGGAUUAGAUACCCUAGUAGUC